RNAcentral lists this unclassified non-coding RNA (374 nucleotides) under Hevea brasiliensis (rubber tree). The record is from RNAcentral. Lineage: Eukaryota; Viridiplantae; Streptophyta; Magnoliopsida; Malpighiales; Euphorbiaceae.
GAAUCAUGGUGGAACGAAGAGCAGGUGUUUUUUCUAUUCUAUUUUUAUAAUGGGGUUUUCCCCCCUUUCUUUUUGCAAAAAUCAAAGCUGAUGAUUUUAUUAAUGCCAAAAUAAUUUGCCCAGAAUUGUACUUUUUCUUGGCUCAUCAGUCUUACUUUUUAUGUGAUAAAGAAGUCCACAUAUCACUUGAGCUCAAUCUUUGAUUGUCAUUUUAAAAUGGAUAAGAAUUUGUCCUGCUACUAUAUGUCCAAAUUUUUUUGCUUGAGUCUGAAAUUAUUGUAUUUUUCUGCACAUUAUUCAUUAUGCUAAAAGAUAGGAGGUUGUCUUCUGAAAAAGGUUGUCUUGUGUUGGAGCUGUGUCUUUCUACUACCUUG